CACCGCGGUUAUACGAGAGGCCCAAGUUGAUAAAUGCCGGCGUAAAAAGUGGUUAGUAUCAUAUUUUACUAAAGCCAAACAUCUUCAAAACUGUCAUACGUUCUCGAAGACAGGAAGCUCCUCCACGAAAGUGGCUUUAAACUGUACAUACCACGAAAGCUAGGGAA
RNAcentral lists this ribosomal RNA (167 nucleotides) under Lentipes armatus. RNAcentral's name for it is "partial 12S rRNA". Lineage: Eukaryota; Metazoa; Chordata; Actinopteri; Gobiiformes; Gobiidae. The record is from RNAcentral.